UACGAAGGGGGCUAGCGUUGCUCGGAAUUACUGGGCGUAAAGGGCGCGUAGGCGGACAGUUUAGUCAGAGGUGAAAGCCCAGGGCUCAACCCUGGAAUUGCCUUUGAUACUGACUGUCUUGAGUACGGGAGAGGUGAGUGGAACUCCGAGUGUAGAGGUGAAAUUCGUAGAUAUUCGGAAGAACACCAGUGGCGAAGGCGACUCGCUGGACAAGUAUUGACGCUGAGGUGCGAAAGCGUGGGGAGCAAACAGG
RNAcentral lists this ribosomal RNA (253 nucleotides) under uncultured bacterium. RNAcentral describes it as "partial 16S ribosomal RNA". It matches the Rfam family "Bacterial small subunit ribosomal RNA", at positions 524 to 776 of the family's 1533-position model. The record is from RNAcentral.